RNAcentral lists this ribosomal RNA (252 nucleotides) under uncultured bacterium. RNAcentral describes it as "partial 16S ribosomal RNA". It matches the Rfam family "Bacterial small subunit ribosomal RNA", at positions 524 to 775 of the family's 1533-position model. The record is from RNAcentral.
UACGUAGGGGGCAAGCGUUGUCCGGAUUUAUUGGGCGUAAAGAGCGUGUAGGCGGCCUGACAGGUCUGCUGUGAAAACUCGAGGCUCAACCUCGAGAUGUCGGCGGAAACCGUCUGGCUAGAGUCCGGAAGAGGAGAGUGGAAUUCCUGGUGUAGCGGUGAAAUGCGCAGAUAUCAGGAAGAACACCUAUGGCGAAGGCAGCUCUCUGGGACGGUACUGACGCUGAGACGCGAAAGCGUGGGGAGCGAACGG